RNA transcript from Coffea arabica (coffee), 2158 nucleotides. It is a transcript of the gene named F-box/LRR-repeat protein 4, with no coding region annotated. The record is from RefSeq and is a predicted model, not a curated record. Lineage: Eukaryota; Viridiplantae; Streptophyta; Magnoliopsida; Gentianales; Rubiaceae.
CGCCUCUUAAAGAACAUUGAACCCCCUCAAACUCAGUUCUGAGCAUUAGGGAUUCAAAUAUUUUUGCAAAAUCUUAGAACUCACAUCAGCCGAAAUUGUGAAAUGGAUAGGCUUGGGGAAGAUGAAUUAGCCUCAAUUUUGGAAUGGAUUCAAGACCCUCGUGACAGAAAUUCAUUUUCUCUGGUUUGCAAGCGUUGGUGCAAUGUUGAAGGCUUGAAUAAAUUUUCUCUCCGCGUUUUUGAGCCUAAUUACCUCCUAAGUUUUCUACCAAGAUUCCCAAAUUUGCUUAUGUUUGAAUCAUCGGAGCCAAUCUCAGAUGCCCAGAUGGAGUUUCUUGCAAGAACAUGCCCCAGCAUUCAGAAACUCAACCUCUACUACCACGAGGCAUUUCACACCUGGGCAUCAGCUAGACAUUCCGACUUUGGCCAUGUUGGUUUACGUGCUCUGGCAAAAGGGUGUUGCAAUUUGAGGUCAGUGGUGUUGAGGCGGAGAAGAGGAGUCAGCAAUGCUGGAGUUUCUUCGCUUGUUAAGCUUUCGCGAAAUUUAGUGAAUUUGGACGUGAGAUGGUGUAAAGGGAUUAGUGAUGAAGCACUUGAGGCAAUUGGGACCAUGAGUGCUUUGACAAGCUUGAAUUUGCAAGGUUGUUGUUUAAUUUCUGAUGAGGGGCUGGCUUCUUUGGCAAAAGGGUCUCUGUGCAAGUCCCUUGAGUUCUUAAAUCUUGCAGAAUGUGAUCGAAUUUCGGAUGAUGGGGUGAUGAAAUUGGUGGCAAUGAAGUCCUUGGAGGUAUUGAAAUUGGCAGAAUGUGGUCCAAAAGUGACUGAUGUUGGUGGGAGGGCUGUGGCUGCAAUUGAAAGUCUCAAGAGAUUGAAUUUAUCGUGGCUGAUAAAUGUAUCUGAUGACACAGUUUUUGCUCUGGCUCAAAAUAGCAAAAAUUUGGCGACACUUCAUUUAGAGGGCUGUGAAUUGGUUACAGGAGAUGGUAUCCGUGCAUUUACUAGCCACAAGUCUUUACGUAAGCUAGAAUUGUAUGGUAUUUAUAAAUUUAACGUAAAUGAUGUCGAAGAGCUGGUGCUUGGAUGCCAAUCUUUGGAGUUUAUUGGGAUGGAUCAAAGAUUGAGAAGUUGGAUUCCUGUUACAGAGCAGGGGAAUAUAUUUAGGCCAGAUUGUCGGAUUUCUUGGAGGUUAUAGACCAAUAAAAGACUUACAUUUGUUAGUAGAAGGAAUUGUUCUGCAGGUAACUGUGUCCUUUUCUUUUACUUCCCGUUCCUGUAUGCCAUUUUUAUAAAGCAAUUUGGUUUCAAUGCGGGUGACAGCUCUUAUACUGUGAUUUUUGCUCCUCAUUGUAUUCUAGACAAACAUGAUGAUGAUAAGUGCAAAGGCAAAGACAAGACAGAAAUUCAAACUUCUAUUCUAGGUGAAGGGAUUUCACAUUAGGACGUAUCCCUACUAGAAGGCCAAUUUGGUGAAUCUGCAAAAGAAUUGGAUAUCUUGUAGCAUGUGGUGCCAUUAUAAUAUCCUUUACAAGAUGCUAAUGUAAUGCUCAUUCAUAAAAGUUAAGGUCAAGAAUAGCCUGUGGUUCGUGAACCAUUAUGAAGUAUAACAUAACAUCCCUGUAGUUUUAGAAUGCUCACCUUUCGCAUGUGGUCUGAAACGUGAGCCAACUAGAAGUUGGAGUUCGUACUUUCUCCAGACAGCUAUGUUCGUGUCUGACUGAUUGUCUUCAGCAGGCACAAUAUAUCAUCUUUAGAGGGCUAGGAAUGGAGGUGUUCAGUUGUUCAAUUACACUUGAUAUUGCUAGCAGUACAAGCCUUGAUGGUCUUCUCAAUGUGUUCCAAUACGUGCUUUUGAUGUUGUCAGCACAAGUUUUAAGUAUUGGCAUAUGAAUUCUUGCCUUUCAGGCUUUUAUAGAGGAACUCUGUCUACAUUUACUAGGAUUUUAGAUUUGUGGUUAAAGAUGUGCAUUUAGCAGCCUUCGUAUGCAGGAAUUGCCAUAUAGAAGUAUUUGAAUUUGAUAGUUAUAUACAUCUAGAAAACAAGAAUGCUUGCAUUACAACUGAACACAAGGGGAGUUACAAACUUACAAUUGUCACUCCAUAUGUGCUGCAUAUAUUUCUGUUCCUUUUCCAGGGUCUGAACUAGAAAGUGCCCUUCUCUUGAA